Molecule: ribosomal RNA, 1148 nt
Filed under: Thermococcus sp. Tc-I-70
Lineage: Archaea; Methanobacteriati; Methanobacteriota; Thermococci; Thermococcales; Thermococcaceae
Description: bacterial SSU rRNA
Rfam family: Archaeal small subunit ribosomal RNA
Source: RNAcentral
GGCCACUGCUAUGGGGGUCCGACUAAGCCAUGCGAGUCAUGGGGCGCGCUCUGCGCGCACCGGCGGACGGCUCAGUAACACGUCGGUAACCUACCCUCGGGAGGGGGAUAACCCCGGGAAACUGGGGCUAAUCCCCCAUAGGCCUGAGGUACUGGAAGGUCCUCAGGCCGAAAGGGUCUUUGACCGCCCGAGGAUGGGCCGGCGGCCGAUUAGGUAGUUGGUGGGGUAACGGCCCACCAAGCCGAAGAUCGGUACGGGCCAUGAGAGUGGGAGCCCGGAGAUGGACACUGAGACACGGGUCCAGGCCCUACGGGGCGCAGCAGGCGCGAAACCUCCGCAAUGCGGGCAACCGCGACGGGGGGACCCCCAGUGCCGUGGCAUCGCCACGGCUUUUCCGGAGUGUAAAAAGCUCCGGGAAUAAGGGCUGGGCAAGGCCGGUGGCAGCCGCCGCGGUAAUACCGGCGGCCCGAGUGGUGGCCGCUAUUAUUGGGCCUAAAGCGUCCGUAGCCGGGCCCGUAAGUCCCUGGCGAAAUCCCACGGCUCAACCGUGGGGCUUGCUGGGGAUACUGCGGGCCUUGGGACCGGGAGAGGCGGGGGGUACCCCUGGGGUAGGGGUGAAAUCCUAUAAUCCCAGGGGGACCGCCAGUGGCGAAGGCGCCCCGCUGGAACGGGUCCGACGGUGAGGGACGAAGGCCAGGGGAGCGAACCGGAUUAGAUACCCGGGUAGUCCUGGCUGUAAAGGAUGCGGGCUAGGUGUCGGGCGAGCUUCGAGCUCGCCCGGUGCCGAAGGGAAGCCGUUAAGCCCGCCGCCUGGGGAGUACGGCCGCAAGGCUGAAACUUAAAGGAAUUGGCGGGGGAGCACUACAAGGGGUGGAGCGUGCGGUUUAAUUGGAUUCAACGCCGGGAACCUCACCGGGGGCGACGGCAGGAUGAAGGCCAGGCUGAAGGUCUUGCCGGACACGCCGAGAGGAGGUGCAUGGCCGCCGUCAGCUCGUACCGUGAGGCGUCCACUUAAGUGUGGUAACGAGCGAGACCCGCGCCCCCAGUUGCCAGUCCUCCCCGCUGGGGAGGAGGCACUCUGGGGGGACCGCCGGCGAUAAGCCGGAGGAAGGAGCGGGCGACGGUAGGUCAGUAUGCCCCGAAACCCC